GUCUAUGCCUAUACCUCCCUGAAUGUACCCGAUCUCAUCUGAUCUUGGAAGCUAAGUAGGGUCGAACCUGGUUAGUACUUGGGUGCGAGACAAGAACACUGAGAUCUGCCUGUAUACAGGAAAGAGACU
Molecule: ribosomal RNA, 129 nt
Organism: Fukomys damarensis (Damara mole-rat)
Lineage: Eukaryota; Metazoa; Chordata; Mammalia; Rodentia; Bathyergidae
Source: Ensembl